RNAcentral lists this non-coding RNA (111 nucleotides) under Acidimicrobium sp. RNAcentral describes it as "TPP sequence". It matches the Rfam family "TPP riboswitch aptamer (THI element)". Rfam says of the family: Vitamin B(1) in its active form thiamin pyrophosphate (TPP) is an essential coenzyme that is synthesised by coupling of pyrimidine and thiazole moieties in bacteria. The previously detected thiamin-regulatory element, thi box was extended, resulting in a new, highly conserved RNA secondary structure, the THI element, which is widely distributed in eubacteria and also occurs in some archaea. Lineage: Bacteria; Bacillati; Actinomycetota; Acidimicrobiia; Acidimicrobiales; Acidimicrobiaceae. The record is from RNAcentral.
GUCACAAGCACGGGGAGCCCGAGAAAUAUCGGGCUGAGAGGGUGGUAGCCACCACCGACCCGCAGACCUGAUCUGGGUAAUGCCAGCGGAGGGAGCAAUAUGACAACGGUU